This 2997-nucleotide long non-coding RNA is filed under the name Sus scrofa (pig). Its description in RNAcentral is "lncRNA (ENSSSCG00025050471.1)". The record is from RNAcentral. Lineage: Eukaryota; Metazoa; Chordata; Mammalia; Artiodactyla; Suidae.
GGGCGCGAUGGCGGACUGGGCUCGGGGUGAGCAUUGGGGAGCGGAGGCAGGUGGCGGCGGUGCUGGAACCGAUGCCGCUGCCUGCAGGAGUCGCUUUCGCCCGCCCCCGCCUCUCUGGGUGGCUUUGGCCGGCAGACACUGAGAACAGGCGGAGCCAGGGCGGCGUGGGUGGGGCCCUCGGGCGGUCUUGCCCGGCUUCUCGGUGAAGCUGCGGGGUCCGGAUGUCCGCUGUCCCCACCCCUUCCGCCCUCGUGAGACUGUUCUGCACGGGACCUCAGCCAGACGGGCUGGUCGACUGUUCCGGAGGCCAGCCCCAAGGAGUGAGGGCUGCGCGUGAUGGCCCAAGAAGGCCUCGUACCGACUGGGACUGGGAGUGGCCCACUUGCCCUCUGGGAACCCCUGUUCUUAUCUGCGAAGUGGGAUGCUGAUGCUUGUUUCCGCUGGGCUUGCGGCAUUUACAGAUUUAAUGGAUGAAAGCGCUCAGAGCCCCGGCGCUGUGGAGGAGAUUCUAGACCGGGAGAACAAGCGGAUGGCGGACACCUUGGCCUCCAAGGUCACCAGGCUCAAGUCGCUGGCCUUGGACAUUGAUAGGGAUGUGGAGGACCAGAACCGGUACCUGGACGGCAUGGACUCGGAUUUCACGAGUGUGACGGGCCUCCUCACGGGGAGUGUGAAGCGCUUUUCCACAAUGGCGAGAUCUGGGCGAGACAACCGGAAGCUUCUCUGUGGUGUGGCCAUGGGCCUGAUCGUGGUCUUCUUCAUCCUCUCCUACCUCCUGUCAAGGGCAAGGACGUGAGCCAGUGGGAACUGGUUUCUGUAGGUACCUGGGACAACCAGGGUCUUCCUCUGCCUUGUGUCCUGGGCUCCAGAAGAUCUACCUACAAAAUACCCCUUCGAAGUGAUGAGCAUGGCUUAGGAAUCUUUUUCCUGUGUGGCUGGGAGCCUCUGACCCAGUAAGCUCAUGUUAGCUGGUCCCAUGUGUGCAAGGGGCCCAUCCCCAUUGGGUAACCAAGGCCCAGCUUCCUCUGCCAUCUUGGGUGCUAGAAGCCCUAGCAGAGCCAGGUUGGAGCAGAGCAGCUGGGAAUCCUGGACGUGACCACCUGUGACCAGCAGCCCUUCCCCCAGCCCUCAGGGUUCUGAUGUAUUGAGGCUUCUCUGCUUGGUCUUGGUCUGGAUAAGGCCACGUCUGGUAUUCGAGGUGCCCAGAGCCGACACAGGAAGGGGUGCGACUGUGAACCUCGAAUCAUUGCUGUCACUUUCAGCCAAGGGUCCUCAAACCAGAGAUGGCCGUUGCUCCUGGCCAGGGCUGCCGGGCACUGGUGGACCAGCAAGAGUCAAGGGUCCUGCCGAGAGGUGUCUGCCUGCCGUCCAACCCCAUGGCUGGAGCCCGACCCUCAGGGAAGGGCAGUGGCCAUGCGUGGAGAAGUGAACUGCAGCAUUGGCUGAAGACGCGGGCCCAGGUCCUCCUGGUCUCCCUGUGUCCAGGAGCAGAAACUGACCUUUUCUCAGGAUUCAGGGUCUGUCCAGCACCGAGACACGUUUCCAGGAGCCCAGAUCUCUAGAAAGAGGCUCAUCUGGCAUGUCAGAGUCAGGCAGGGUGUGAGCAGGGGCCUCUGUGGGUACAGCCUGGAGGCUUCCAGGUAACAGCUUUUCAUAGGAUCUGUAGGUCGCUUUUUGAGGGUCCGCGGACAGUUUCCACCGAGUCUGGCCCUUCCACCUACAGUAUCUGCCCAUCUCUCCUUGGGCCCUCAGUGCCCACUGGUCAGUCUCCUGCUCACACAAGGUGAACUGCAGUUUCUUCCAAACCAAUGGGUCUUUCUACCCCACUGUGAGAUCUCAGUGUCUUCCCAUGAAAACACCUGUAAGAAACGAGUCAUCAGCUCUGUCCUUCCCGUCUUUUGUUCCAGUUCUCUGUCUUCCUGGUCACUCCCCUUCACUCUCUGAGGGCUACCGGCUCACCGGCCAUCUUCACACAUACACAUGUGGUCAUAUGUCAGCCACAGCCUGUGCCUCUCGACUCCUGCCACCCCACCCUGCUCUGGUCUCUGGCCCUGGGCACCUCACCUUCUGGCCCUGCUGCUCCUGCUCCUCCUCUCUCUCUCCUUUGUUCUCCACCGAGCAGGCCUGGCUUGUCUCACACUCACCAUAAUGCCCUUCUCUUUUCCACUGCGCCUGGUUGGGCCUCAGCCUUCUGGAAGGGGAGCGUGCUACCUUCUCAUUUCCGAGUGCUCUGUUCUUACUGCCUCCAUCCCUCCAGUGUGUGCUUGUUUCUCACUCGGUGAGGUCCGCUUCCUUGCCUCCAUGGCUUCGACUCAGCCGUCAGCUCAUCUCAUGUUGAAAUUUGUCACAGGGACGUGCCUACUGUUCAUGAAGCUCAGCAGCUGCUGCCGUGUCGUGUUUCCAUCGGGUCACCACAGGCACGGCAGACACAUCAGACCUGAGUGUGGCAGCCGCCUGUUCUGGGCCUGCUAACCUGGCUUCCUGAGAAUAUGGCUCAGCCAUGGCUGUUGCUCCCCCCAGGAUGCUCUUACCUGCUGUGCCCACUCGUCUUGCCAGUGCAGACCAGGAAUUGAGGAUUUGCCUUUCAGAAUGACUGUCUCAAGAAGUGCUCUGCCCCCUCCGAGACCUCUGGUUGCUGUGUUCUCUCCUUGGGUCCCCACCUCUGCCUCCCCACUUCAUUUCCAUGGCUCUUGGCAGCUCUUCCAGCUAUUUUGGGGUCUGGGUUUUUGUCUCUGUCUGGUUUACUUUUUUGUUGCAUUAGGCUGAGUUCCUGAAUGCUGCUGCCACCACGUCGGCAGGGUUUUCUGUGGGGCCUGCACCCUUCUGCUCAGCCCUGUGCACUCAGCACCUCCUCCUGUGGAUAAGUGGGGUUUGCUAAGUGGCCCUUCAGACUAAAACAGAAGAGGCCUUGGAGUCCUCUGUGCCAAGGGAGGGCCCCAAGUCAAGGACAAGGCAUUUGGUCAUAAAAACUUGGAAUAAACAGAUUCUCGAUUAAGU